UGUCAAAACAAUCGGUUCAUUUUGAUGAUUAUCUUGCAUGGCACAUCUGGCAACACCAGGACGAGUCCGACAACUUCCUCAUUUCAUAUGCCCGAUAAAUUCUAGAAGGUAAACAACUAGCAUGGUAGGAUUUGUUGCAGUAAUAACAUGAUGCCCAGUAUACCUCUUCCUCAAUAGGUGAAACAAAUUGGUGGACCAUGCAGACUUGACAAAUAAGCAUCCCUUGCCCCUCUGGAAUUUCACUGUCCUGAUGAAGAGUUGAAAAUGGCUCAACAUCAACAUCCAGCUCACCAUGACAUGGCUGAACAUGAUCCUUGCCAAGAGCUGAAGAUGGUACAGCAUCAAUGAUUAUAUCUGAAGGAGAGCAGUGAUGACAAAGCCAGUUUGAAGAAACAAUUAAGCUUAAAUCAACAUCAGUUUGUUCUUGGUAAUUUAGACAGUCCCUGUGGAACCAUCGGUCACAACCAUCGCAACCAACCCAAAGGAUUCCUCCUUCAUCAUUGCAAUGACCUCUGAUAUUGCAUACUUGACAGAGGAUCCAAUGAUUGGGACAAAAAUGUCUGCCAAUUCUUGUGGGAUCAGGCCUCCAGUUACUAAGGGAUGUCCUCGUACAAACUGACCGCAUGUGUGGCAAAGAGGAUCAUGAUUACAGGGAUUGUCUCCCCCUGGUCCUGGAAUGGGCAAGGUGUAAUCCGCUUCUGAGGCUGCAUUUCACACAGAUUUUUGAAGGUUACCUCCCCUUUCCAAUCAUCAAAUGAGGAUUUGCAUAUCCCAAACUGACUGACAAAUCAGAAAACUGUUUUUUGAGUGGCCGGAAUAAGGCCACAUCCAGGGGCUGCAAUAUGUGUGUUGUGUGUGGAGGCAGGCACAACAACUCGACCCUAUUUUCUCUGGCCUUCUCAAUGAUGUUGAGUGAAAGAUGACUCUCGUGGUUAUCCAUGAUCAGUAGUAAGGGUCUCUGCUUGGAUGCGUGUUUCAGGAAUACCUUGUCAAACCACUUCUCAAACAAAUCAGCAUCCAUGUACCCAUUUGUGGAAGUUCCGAAAAGCCAUUCUUGAGGUAUUCCUGUGAAUAAACAAAAAUGUCCCACCAGGAAACGACUUUUCGAAGAUUAUGAAGGAAGGAAGAACUCUCCCAUCAGCGGACACACAAAUUGUAGCUGUUGUAUGGCAAUAUAUGGAAAAGAAGGAGAGAAGACU
Pecten maximus is the source of this 1199-nucleotide long non-coding RNA. RefSeq lists it as uncharacterized. NCBI's taxonomy places the organism in Eukaryota, Metazoa, Mollusca, Bivalvia, Pectinida, Pectinidae. The record is from RefSeq and is a predicted model, not a curated record. The transcript is spliced from 5 exons.